This 63-nucleotide transfer RNA is filed under the name Pelturagonia nigrilabris (Blacklipped eyebrow lizard). RNAcentral describes it as "tRNA-His". It matches the Rfam family "tRNA". Rfam says of the family: Transfer RNA (tRNA) molecules are approximately 80 nucleotides in length. Their secondary structure includes four short double-helical elements and three loops (D, anti-codon, and T loops). The record is from RNAcentral. Lineage: Eukaryota; Metazoa; Chordata; Lepidosauria; Squamata; Agamidae.
GCCAGGAUAGUUUAACAAAACAUUAGGCCGUGACCCUAAAAAUAGAGACUUCUCUUCCUAGCC